RNAcentral lists this ribosomal RNA (476 nucleotides) under uncultured bacterium. Its description in RNAcentral is "bacterial SSU rRNA". It matches the Rfam family "Bacterial small subunit ribosomal RNA", at positions 22 to 518 of the family's 1533-position model. The record is from RNAcentral.
GGUCAGAACGAACGCUGGCGGCAUGCCUAAUACAUGCAAGUCGAACGGAGAUAGCAAUAUCUUAGUGGCGAACGGGUGCGUAACACGUGAGCAACCUGCCUUAUACAUCGGAAUAACAGCUGGAAACGGCUGCUAAUACCGGAUAAGACCACACCAAGGCAUCUUGGAGAGGUCAAAGCGAAUUAGCGGUAUAAGAUGGGCUCGCGUCCAAUUAGCUAGUUGGUGGGGUAACGGCCCACCAAGGCAACGAUUGGUAGCCGACUUGAGAGAGUGAUCGGCCACACUGGAACUGAGACACGGUCCAGACUCCUACGGGAGGCAGCAGUAGGGAAUAUUGGGCAAUGGAGGAAACUCCUUACCCAGCAAUGCCGCGUGAAUGAUGAAGGUCUUAUGGAUUGUAAAGUUCUUUAAUUGGGGACGAAAGAAAUGACGGUACCCAAAGAAUAAGCCCCGGCUAACUAUGUGCCAGCCGCUGC